Molecule: microRNA, 21 nt
Filed under: Gallus gallus (chicken)
Lineage: Eukaryota; Metazoa; Chordata; Aves; Galliformes; Phasianidae
Description: gga-miR-12261-5p
Source: miRBase by way of RNAcentral
CCUCCGCAGGAGCCCUUUGCA